Molecule: ribosomal RNA, 498 nt
Filed under: uncultured bacterium
Lineage: Bacteria
Description: partial 16S ribosomal RNA
Rfam family: Bacterial small subunit ribosomal RNA
Source: RNAcentral
GACGAACGCUGGCGGCGUGCCUAAUACAUGCAAGUCGAACGAGAGCGACCGGUGCUUGCACUGGUUAAUCUAGUGGCGAACGGGUGAGUAACACGUGGGUAACCUGCCCAUCAGAGGGGGAUAACAUCCGGAAACGGAUGCUAAAACCGCAUAGGUCUUCGAACCGCAUGGUUUGAAGAGGAAAAGAGGCGCAAGCUUCUGCUGAUGGAUGGACCCGCGGUGCAUUAGCUAGUUGGUGAGGUAACGGCUCACCAAGGCCGUGAUGCAUAGCCGACCUGAGAGGGUGAUCGGCCACAUUGGGACUGAGACACGGCCCAAACUCCUACGGGAGGCAGCAGUAGGGAAUCUUCCGCAAUGGACGCAAGUCUGACGGAGCAACGCCGCGUGAGUGAAGAAGGUUUUCGGAUCGUAAAACUCUGUUGUUAGAGAAGAACAAGUGCUAGAGUAACUGUUAGCGCCUUGACGGUAUCUAACCAGAAAGCCACGGCUAACUACGUG